UCUUGAAGCUGAGUUGUCGCUAGACUUUUGUCGAUCAUUUGAUUGAUAGAUAUUUAGAGGAAAGUCCGGGCUCCAUGAAGAAAAAGUGCUGGUUAAUGGCCAGCGGGUAUAUAAUUGCUAAUUACUAGCAGCAAUAUAUCUAGGGAAAGUGUCACAGAAAAUAUACCGCCUAGGAAUUAAUUUUUAGGUAAGGUUGAAAUGGUGCGGUAAGAGCGCACCGCUGUUUUGGCAAUGAAACAGGCAUGACAAACCCCACUUGGAGCAAAUUCGAGCAAAGGGUUGCAUCUUCACUAAUGCCCUUGGGUUGAAUGCUAUAAUUUUGCAGCAAUGUAAAGUAGAGAUAAAUGACAACAUAAAACAGAACCCGGCUUAUUGGCUUCAAUUAAUA
RNAcentral lists this RNase P RNA (388 nucleotides) under Candidatus Cytomitobacter indipagum. Its description in RNAcentral is "RNase P RNA component class A". It matches the Rfam family "Bacterial RNase P class A". From Rfam's summary of the family: Ribonuclease P (RNase P) is a ubiquitous endoribonuclease, found in archaea, bacteria and eukarya as well as chloroplasts and mitochondria. Its best characterised activity is the generation of mature 5'-ends of tRNAs by cleaving the 5'-leader elements of precursor-tRNAs. Lineage: Bacteria; Pseudomonadati; Pseudomonadota; Alphaproteobacteria; Holosporales; Holosporaceae. The record is from RNAcentral.